RNAcentral lists this ribosomal RNA (520 nucleotides) under uncultured bacterium. RNAcentral's name for it is "partial 16S ribosomal RNA". It matches the Rfam family "Bacterial small subunit ribosomal RNA", at positions 28 to 507 of the family's 1533-position model. The record is from RNAcentral.
GACGAACGCUGGCGGCGUGCCUAACACAUGCAAGUCGAACGCAAUCUCGUUUAGAUCGUAGGAGUACGCUCCUGAUUGAUCAACAGUUUAGUGAGUGGCGGACGGUCGAGUAAUACGUGGGUAAUCUGCCAUAAAGUGGUAGAUAACAAUUGGAAACAGAUGCCAAUACAGCAUAAAACCUAUCACCGCAUGGUGUAGGGGUGUAAGAUGGUUUCGGCUUUCACUGUAGGAUGGACACGCGGUGCAUUAGCUAGUUGGUGGGGUAAAGGCUCACCAAGGCGGCGAUGCAUAGCCGGCCUGAGAGGAUGAUCAGCCACACUGGAACUGAGACACGGCCCAGACUCCUACGGGAGGCAGCAGUAGGGAAUCUUCGACAAAGGGCGAAAGCCUGAUGGAGCAACGCCGCGUGAGUGAAGAAGGUCUUCGGAUCGUAAAGCUCUGUUGUUGGGGAAGAAUGGAUGUGAUAGUAACUGCUCAUGUAGUGACGGUACCCAAACAGAAAGCCACGGCUAACUACGUG